Hymenopellis radicata is the source of this 92-nucleotide non-coding RNA. The record is from the annotation of a GenBank genome assembly. NCBI's taxonomy places the organism in Eukaryota, Fungi, Basidiomycota, Agaricomycetes, Agaricales, Physalacriaceae.
UCUCUGAUAGUAUAUCGGUUAGUACACGCGCCUGUCAUGUCGGGUGUCAAUUUGUUACGCGCGAAAGCUGGGUUCGACUCCCAGUCAGAGAG